CACACACACACACACACACACACACACACACACACACACACACACACACACACACUCUCAGGAUGCCACUCACACACACUCAUACACAGUCACACCUACUGAGUGAACACAGAGCAGAUCCAUAGUCCACUCACACGUGGGUGUGUGCUUCUUCCUCUUUACUCACAUUUUUGGCUUGUUUCACAAAGACACACCCACUUUGUUUUGUAGGACAGGACACACACACACACACAGACACACACACACACAGAGUGAGAGAGGAACAGAGAGAGGGGAGUGUGUAACUCUGUCACUGUCAGAACACAGCAUGAGGCAGGAACUACCACUUGAAGCAACUGCUCAGUUAGAGGACUGGUGUAAGAUGGGACAGAGGGGGAAAUCUUCUGAUGAAACGGAUGCUCUCACUGUGGCCAAAUUCUGAAGACAAGGAAGGUUUUGCUCGCAAGUGUUAGUCAUUAGGCGAAACUGGGAGGAGACAGGAGAUAAGAGAGAAGCAGAAAACAGACUUUUACCUACGCCAUGUCAGAGGAGAGGGCAAAGAGGCAGCAUGGACGGAUGGACGGAGCAGCAGGGAGGAUGACAUCACCGUCACCCGUGGGAGCCAGAGCCUGCCAUUCAUGCCAGCAGUGUGUGCGCGUUUGUGAGUGUGUGUGUGGGAGCCUCUGUCUCUACGUGUCACUUCCUGGGAGAGAAUAGGACAGGAAGCCCGAGUGAGAGCCGACAACAAGCACUCGCCUCACCUCCACAAGGAAGCCUUUCUCCCUAGAGAGCAAAAAAAAGGGAGGUGUGUGUGUGUGUGUGUGUGUGUGUGUGUGUGCCUCACUCACUCCUGCAUUCAUACUGCAGUGGGCUGGUGUUGGUGUGGGGUUUGUGUAAGCCUCUACUGUUUCCAUUUCUUUUAGUUCAAGUCUGACUUUUUUUUUUUAAACAAGAAAAAAAGAAAAAAAAAACAUUUGGACAAAUCGCGAUCACGUUUUCUUUAAAAGACUGGCGCGCACAGACUUGGCAAAAAGGCGGCAUACCACCCCACCAUGCAGGAUAGAUGCUGGUCAGACACCGGGUUACAGAGAGAAACAAAAAUGAGGGGAAAAAAGACAAGAAAUACAUUGGAAUUUUGCAAGAGGGAGCAUGUGUGACGACAGAAGGACUGAGGUGUAACUGAAACCUAUUUUCAUCUGGUCAUUACUUAUUAUAAUUUUCUGUUAGUAUCUGGUUUAUGAUUGUAUGGAGGUGCACUUUAGAAUCGAGUUCCUGCUAACAGUGAAAGCCAGAGAGUCAUCUGUCACAUAGGACUGACACUGCCAGAGUUUCAAAUCUUUUCUUACGCCCUAAUGUUAACCAUGGACUGGUACUGUUUUCACCCUGGGAGUCGUGUGUGUGUGUGUGUGUAUGUGUGUCAUGGAGUCACCUACUGUAGCAGGAACCGUCACAUAUGGUUCUUAGUACUUUGCCAGUUGUUUAUAUGUGUUACUUAUCAGAGUACAUCAGGCAGCGGGGAAGCUGAAACAUCUUUAUCAUCAUUAUCUUCUCACCUGGAUCUGGAUUUGCAGCAGCUGGACAUGAAAAAAACAAACCUCGUGGAGAUACCAAAAUCCUUUGUUGGAUUGCUUAUACUAUUAUUAUAUUAGCUUUAUAGUCACUCCUCUAUCUGCCUUGUGCUGGAGUGUUUCCCGACUGACCUGCACCACAUCGUAUCUCUGCCAGUACUGACCACCCCUCCUAAACCAAGAGAGCCUCCCCUGUAUCCCUGUGUGGAUAUACAGGCAGCCACAUUGCCACAGUAACUAUCUCACAAUGUGGCAUGGGAGCUUGUACAUGCCCUGUCGCCCUCUCGUGCCCAUAAGCAGAAUUACAGGAGUCAGGCGGCGCGAUGAAACCACAUGUGACAGCAUGACAAAAUAUUAUGCCAGGGAUUUAAGUGCAUAUCAGUGUGAGGUCAAAUCUGCUCCAUUAGUUUAACUAUGAAUCGCUGUCCAGCUCCCUCUGCUGCCCCCGCCCCGCUAAGCCGACUGUGGGAUGUCAUUAAACCCAGAAUAAUGUUCCAACCUGGGCGUGCGGAUUUGUCAUGCCUUCUAACACCUCUUCCUAGUGCAGGUCAUCUGACACUCGACUUUCAAAACACCUGGAUGGGCCGCUGGGACAAUGCAGCAUUUAGUGUAGCCUUGUCGCCAUGACGACCUGGCCGGUUACAUAAGUGCAUGGCGCCGGUUCCCACAAACGGCUGCCUACAGAGGUCUUUGUGCUGUGACACGAGACACCACGCACACACAAACACACACACACACACACAGUCAGUGUUUGUACAUUCCUGUAGCUGGAUGUGCUCCUCUCACACAGGUGUGAGGACGGCAAAACAAUGAGCCACUUUAGCCAGCCAUUUAAUCUGAGGUUUCAAUUCAGAUUUCUCUCCUAGCAAGUGGUGAGAAUUUGCAAGCUUGGUGGUUCACUUUGCACUCAGUGUAAUUAGGCUCAGCAUUUUUCCUGAUUCUGCUCAUUGAUUCAGACUCAUUUGAAAUUCCCCCAGUCAACUAAUCUCACUAAUUGUCUAAAGCUGGACGGUAACCGUGCGUUACGUCGUGUUGACUCACUUCAUGUUUUAAUCUGCCUCUCUGACCAACAUAAGAAUUGAACCCCUGGUCAGUUUUGUUAAAGAGAUAUUAACGGUGUAAAUUUGAUCCAUGGUCUAACACGCCGUGACACCGAGUAAGACCCCCCCUUGAAAGAUCAAGUUUGCAGAUUGCUAGUUUACGUAGUUUUAGCAACCUCAGAAAUGAACGCACGAUAAUAAUAUAUUGCAGUAUAUACCUCCACCAACAAACCACCAUCAAAAAGCCACAAAUACUGCUCAGAAUAGCACCAAACUUCAGCAACAGUACAAAUAGGGUCGCAGCACAUAGUUCGAGGCAUCAUACGUCUGCUAGCUUAACCAGAGUUCUAUUGUAAAGUGAACACAACUCACCACUCUCCUGCAGCAGCUUCCUGUUGUGGGGAAGUCCCUGUGAGUUGACUGCAGGAUUAAACAACUCAAAGUGGCAAUAUAAACCAUUUUGAAAUCAGCUUUAAAAAAAUUUAUUAAAAAUUGUCAUCGGAAUGUGAAUGAACAGCAGUUUUGACAUUAUAAAUGUAUUGUGCAGAAAUAUCUGCUCAAUUUAGCAUGUUAACCAGCUAGCGCUAACACUCCCGCUUGCUGCAUGCCCAACUGAGCCAACGAGCUAAGGCAGCUACAAAUAGCAACACGUAAUGGUUACUCUGGCAAUAUGCAGCCCUUUAUUUGUUUUGAGUAUGAAUUUGAAAGCGGGCCAAUUCUUUCAUAUUGCACCUUUAACGAAAUCGUCCACAGGAUUGUGUAAGCCAUCGAGAGAGGCAGGGAAGAUCUGAUGUUUCACACUUAGAAUCCGCUCACAAAUGGCCAGUAAAAAAGUGGUACAUUUACAGUACAUGUAUACUACUACACAUUGUUACAUAGUAUAUAUAUUGUUACUGAAAAUUGCUCUGACAAGCCCUCUCGCUGAUUUGCUGGGACCCAUAAUCAUGUUCGUCGGGAGUGUUGUGGCAUGAGAAAGGUGUGUCACUGUUACGUGAACAGGCGUGGGUCAUGCGUCCAUCCGUACCUGCAGGACAGGUACAAUGAGUUGCAUUCAGCGUCACAUAGCUUUAGCUCAGGGGAUGCCAAGUGAGCUAUUGUUGGAGUCAAGGGUGUGUGCAGCAGUAUCAUAAGCGUGCGUACAUGCAUAAACACAUUCAUUCACAGGGGCUCUGUUGUGCGGUUAUUCUUCUGUCUUCUUGCCUGUAGGAUCAAUGGCAGCGUCGAUAAGGCUGUAAGUACCCAAAAAUGGCUGAGCACACAUUACCAUACACUGGAUGUUUUAAAGAACGCCACGCGUCAGUAUGCAGCUGACAACACCUCUCCUGAAUUUGUCCAUAUACAGGCGUUGCUUGUCAUGGACUGUCAUCCUCAUUUGUUGUGAUGUCUCCUCUGUUUGAAUUCCUCUCUUCUGCCGGAGGCGAAUUUUCACGUACCAGCCGUCCGUGUCACUGCGCUGCCAUGACAACCACGCUCAUGUUUAAGGCAGUCUCUGAAUAAGAAGCGCUGUCAUGUUUACUCCUUCCCUGACAGAACAGCUCAUCAUCCGACUGACCCACGGAUGGACAUACUGCAGCGAGGACGUCAGUAGGAAAAAAAAGUAUGACUCAACUAACUUGACUACCUGUGAUGUCGCAUCUGUUUUUGAAGUGUGGCUGAAUGCCUUUUCACGGCUUUGUGGUUGCUUUACUGUCAUGACUGCCUCUGCCAAUGAGGCUUCUGCCUGUGUCCUUUGGUCGGUUGGUUUGUCAGCAGGAUUACACUAAAACUGUUUUACAGAUUUGCGCUCAACUUGGAUGGAGGAUGGGUCUCAGCCAAGAAUAGACCCCAUUAAUUUGAGGCAGUGUGCAUCCAGAUAGAGAGACAGAUCCAGGAAUCUCUGCUCGCUUUCUUUAACAUGGUGAGGUGGGGCGUUUACGUUAAUGUCCCAGGAAAUCAUGCAUGGAUCUGGAUGUUGAAAACAUUAGGCACAUAGGCGGCUGGUAUCUAUGAAUGUGUGCAAUUUGAUGCUGAUUGAAAUAAAAAUCAGGAUCUACGGA
Acanthopagrus latus (yellowfin seabream) is the source of this 4623-nucleotide long non-coding RNA. RefSeq lists it as uncharacterized. Lineage: Eukaryota; Metazoa; Chordata; Actinopteri; Spariformes; Sparidae. The transcript has 2 exons. The record is from RefSeq and is a predicted model, not a curated record.